GAUGAACGCUGGCGGCGUGCCUAAUACAUGCAAGUCGAGCGAACGGACGAGAAGCUUGCUUCUCUGAUGUUAGCGGCGGACGGGUGAGUAACACGUGGAUAACCUACCUAUAAGACUGGGAUAACUUCGGGAAACCGGAGCUAAUACCGGAUAAUAUUUUGAACCGCAUGGUUCAAAAGUGAAAGACGGUCUUGCUGUCACUUAUAGAUGGAUCCGCGCUGCAUUAGCUAGUUGGUAAGGUAACGGCUUACCAAGGCAACGAUGCAUAGCCGACCUGAGAGGGGGAUAGGCCACACUGGAAAUGAGACACGGUCCAGAACCCUAAGGGAGGGACGAGUAGGGAAACUUUCGCAAUGGGGGAAAGCCCUACGGAGGAAAGCCGGGGGAGGGAUGAAGGUCUUUGGAUCGGAAAACCCUGUUAUUAGGGAAGAAAAAAUGUGUAAGUAAACAUGCACCUCUUGACGGGAACCAAUUAGAAAGCCCCGGCUAAACACGUG
This 497-nucleotide ribosomal RNA is filed under the name uncultured bacterium. RNAcentral describes it as "partial 16S ribosomal RNA". It matches the Rfam family "Bacterial small subunit ribosomal RNA", at positions 28 to 507 of the family's 1533-position model. The record is from RNAcentral.